Molecule: ribosomal RNA, 46 nt
Filed under: Paramormyrops kingsleyae
Lineage: Eukaryota; Metazoa; Chordata; Actinopteri; Osteoglossiformes; Mormyridae
Source: RNAcentral
CUCUGCUUGCACCUGCUCUCGUCUGAUCUCAGACGUUAAGCAGAGU